AUACGGAGGGGGUUAGCGUUGUUCGGAAUUACUGGGCGUAAAGCGCACGUAGGCGGACCGGAAAGUAAGAGGUGAAAUCCCAGGGCUCAACCCUGGAACUGCCUUUUAAACUAUCGGUCUAGAGUUCGAGAGAGGUGAGUGGAAUUCCUAGUGUAGAGGUGAAAGUCGUAGAUAUUAGGAGGAACACCAGUGGCGAAGGCGGCUCACUGGCUCGAUACUGACGCUGAGGUGCGAAAGCGUGGGGAGCAAACAGGAUUAGAAACCCUUGUAGUCC
This 274-nucleotide ribosomal RNA is filed under the name uncultured bacterium. RNAcentral describes it as "partial 16S ribosomal RNA". It matches the Rfam family "Bacterial small subunit ribosomal RNA", at positions 523 to 796 of the family's 1533-position model. The record is from RNAcentral.